GAUGAACGCUGGCGGCGUGCCUAAUACAUGCAAGUCGAGCGAACAGACGAGGAGCUUGCUCCUCUGACGUUAGCGGCGGACGGGUGAGUAACACGUGGAUAACCUACCUAUAAGACUGGGAUAACUUCGGGAAACCGGAGCUAAUACCGGAUAAUAUAUUGAACCGCAUGGUUCAAUAGUGAAAGACGGUUUUGCUGUCACUUAUAGAUGGAUCCGCGCCGCAUUAGCUAGUUGGUAAGGUAACGGCGUACCAAGGCAACGAUGCGUAGCCGACCUGAGAGAGUGAUCGGCCACACUGGAACUGAGACACGGUCCAGACUCCUACGGGAGGCAGCAGUAGGGAAUCUUCCGCAAUGGGCGAAAGCUUGACGGAGCAACGCCGCGUGAGUGAUGAAGGUCUUCGGAUCGUAAAACUCUGUUAUUAGGGAAGAACAAAUGUGUAAGUAACUAUGCACGUCUUGACGGUACCUAAUCAGAAAGCCACGGCUAACUACGUG
RNAcentral lists this ribosomal RNA (497 nucleotides) under uncultured bacterium. RNAcentral describes it as "partial 16S ribosomal RNA". It matches the Rfam family "Bacterial small subunit ribosomal RNA", at positions 28 to 507 of the family's 1533-position model. The record is from RNAcentral.